UACGUAGGGGGCAAGCGUUGUCCGGAAUUACUGGGCGUAAAGCGUGCGUAGGCGGUUUGUUAAGUCCGUUGUGAAAGCCCUGGGCUCAACCUGGGAAUUGCAGUGGAUACUGGCGAGCUAGAGUGCGGUAGAGGAUGGUGGAAUUCCCGGUGUAGCGGUGAAAUGCGUAGAGAUCGGGAGGAACACCCGUGGCGAAGGCGGCCAUCUGGACCAGCACUGACGCUGAGGCACGAAAGCGUGGGGAGCAAACAGG
This 253-nucleotide ribosomal RNA is filed under the name uncultured bacterium. RNAcentral's name for it is "partial 16S ribosomal RNA". It matches the Rfam family "Bacterial small subunit ribosomal RNA", at positions 524 to 776 of the family's 1533-position model. The record is from RNAcentral.